AUGUUCUUUACAAGUUCUGAAUAAUGUUGAUUCUGAUUCAUCUGAUCACUGAGAUAAAAGCUAUUGAACCCAGAAAAAACAAAAGGAAUGGUGUGUGAAUUAUGAGCCAAGAAAACAGUAACAUAUAGCAGUUAGAUAUAGAAAAAUUAAUGUAGCUAAAGGUUUUAGAAACAGAGGAGGUUGGCAAGUAUGAUUCUACUAUGCUACUUAUUCAUUUUGUGGCAACAAUCAGUUGUUAUGGGAUGUUUCUAUUAAUGGGUAUUUGCUAAUUGUAGAGAUGAAUGUGGGAUGUUUAGAAAUGCAAUACAAGGAAACUUUUUGUUGAAGUUGAGCGUAGCGAAUGUAGAUGCAAUUAUAACUGUGAAUUUUAUUAUUAAUUGUGGGUUCAGCCUCUAGAAAGGAUCUAAGAAGUGGAAUUAUUAACAUUGUUUAGAUUUAGGUCCAAUGAAGAGUGGAUUUGGCGACCCAAACCUUUCAAAUCUCACCUGCCAAGGGCUGGAAUUUUUACUGUUUAUUUGUAUAUUUAUCAAAAUUUUCACCUUUGAAAAUUAUGAGGAACCCUUUAUUGUAAAGGUCAGCUACUGCCAUAUCAAAUUAGUUGGGGGGAAUUUUCGGGUUCAGUUGAGCAGUUACAAGUUUUGGAAGGAUUUUUGUUUAGUAGUUACAUACUAUUUGCUUACUACUAUUUUUUUUUUUUUUGGUAAAAGACCUCUCUGACAGUUUGAAGAGAAUUAAGGUGGAAAAUAUUGGAGCAACUUUCACUUGGAGAUUGGAAAUGGAAGCUCUUUUGUAAUUACUUUAGCUUGUAAUUCUGAUGUUCAAUGAUCUGGAGAUAUCUUAGCAAGUUUUUCAUUCUUUAAUUUAGGUGAUGCGAUUUGCACAUUAAUUGUUUGGUCAAAAGUUGAGUUAAUGAAGUCGUACAUAGAGUUUUUCAAUGCUUUAUCUGGGAUUUGUUGGGUAUUGGAUCUUAUAAACAGUGAAAACAAGGCUGAUUAGUUCUUUCUUUGGUGGGAUUUUUUGGGUGCAUUUUUGUUGAUGGCCA
Long non-coding RNA from Quercus lobata, 1042 nucleotides. RefSeq lists it as uncharacterized. Lineage: Eukaryota; Viridiplantae; Streptophyta; Magnoliopsida; Fagales; Fagaceae. The record is from RefSeq and is a predicted model, not a curated record. The transcript has 2 exons.